Molecule: ribosomal RNA, 512 nt
Filed under: uncultured bacterium
Lineage: Bacteria
Description: partial 16S ribosomal RNA
Rfam family: Bacterial small subunit ribosomal RNA
Source: RNAcentral
GAUGAACGCUGGCGGCGUGCCUAAUACAUGCAAGUCGAACGAAACUUCUUUAUCACCGAGUGCUUGCACUCACCGAUAAAGAGUUAAGUGGCGAACGGGUGAGUAACACGUGGGCAACCUGCCCAAAAGAGGGGGAUAACACUUGGAAACAGGUGCUAAUACCGCAUAACCAUAGUUACCGCAUGGUAACUAUGUAAAAGGUGGCUAUACUACCGCUUUUGGAUGGGCCCGCGGCGCAUUAGCUAGUUGGUAGGGUAAAGGCUUACCAAGGCAAUGAUGCGUAGCCGAAUUGAGAGGUUGAUCGGCCACAUUGGGACUGAGACACGGCCCAAACUCCUACGGGAGGCAGCAGUAGGGAAUCUUCCACAAUGGGCGAAAGCCUGAUGGAGCAACGCCGCGUGGGUGAAGAAGGUCUUCGGAUCGUAAAACCCUGUUGUUAGAGAAGAAAGUGCGUGAGAGUAACUGUUCACGUUUCGACGGUAUCUAACCAGAAAGCCACGGCUAACUACGUG